GAAAAGUCGUAAAAAACUCUUUCAAUAGCCAUUCGAGUAAUCAACAUUUAACAUUGUUAGCCACGAUUUCAAAAAUUUUUUCGAACUUUUCAAUAUUUAUAAUAUACAAAUAUAUAUUGUAGUAAAUUCGGACAUCUACAAUGGUUUUAAUCACGCCAAUGGAGGCGUGCGCAAAAAAUUAGCAAUGUGCUCAGCCCAUUGAGGCGGAUGCAAAUUUCGGAAAUAAAAUUUAUCGUCACAUUGAUAAGAAAUUUUAAUUAAACUGCAUGCAAAAAAGUGGACAUCGCUCGGUGCGAACACAUUCAACGACGACAAUCAAGGCGGUGCUUGAAAGUGAUGACACAGCGACAUGGCGCUGCAGACACGGCGUUUAAUUGAACAGCAGGCGCAUUGAACACAUCGCAUGUGUGUGUGCGAAGGUGGAUGCAGGCGUCACCUUUUGAAUUCUCUUGAUAGGAUGACGCCACCGCUGAUGAAAUUCAUUGAAUGGACUUCAAUUUAUCGAAAAUUUCAUAUUGGUUCAGAGAAAGCGCAGAUAAUUACGGAGAUUCAAGUCAAAAGCAGUGCACGCAUUGAUGCAAGCACACUGUUGCAUUUAACAGCUGUACCGCGUGGCAACGUCAGAAUACCAAAAAAGGGCAACAAAUUGAAAGCCGAAGCAAGUUUUCGUACAGAUAACAAUGACAUCUUGAUAGCUACUUCAGUCAAUAGCGAAGCCAUCAAAGCUUCAAGGUUCUUUCUUGUCGCAACUUCCAGCCGUUUUCUUAUCUCUACUACGCGAGUAUUUUCAAUUAAAUUACGCAUACAUUUUGAAUGACAAUGUGUUGUUGCAAAAACGCAGGAAAAAAUGCCAACAACCGAGAGUCGUAAAGAUAUGCCAACAACCGGGAGCAUAACUGUAAAUACGUACGACGAAGAGUGGUAAUGUCAAUUUUUCCACCGCACUGACAAGUAAGCAAAAUAUAAGUAGCAGCUAAGAAAAACAACAAAAGCGACAACAACAAUGCAACAGCAGCAGAAACGGUCAAAAUAGCGCAAAUAUUGUACAAGAAAGUUGCAUGUGCCACUUGUAAGAAUUGUCCAAGCGUGCCAUAAGCUCUGCGCAGAAAAGGAAGUGCAACGCCAACGCGCCACAACAGAGUACAGCAACAACAAUAGCUGUAUGGUGUAGCGCAAUAGUUGAAAUACAGCGAAACAGCAUGAAUUACACUGUCAGUGGCAGCGACUUGCGUGAAGUCUAUCUUCCGGCGCUGCAGCUUUCAGUACAACCAUCAACACAAUCUGCGCAGAAUAGAAAUCAGAAUAAAAGUCGAUCGUCAAAAUAGCUGUGGCGCAGUGCCCAUUAAUGCAAUACUCGCAGCUGAAAUUUGCACCUGAAGUUGUGGAAAAAAGAUAGCGGCAGCCAAAUAACCAAACAACCAGCGAGCAACUAAGUGCAAGGCAAAGCAAUUUGGUUAAAAUGUGAACAAGAGGCACUCAGAUGGGUGGUGAAGCGGACAACCCCAGCAGGAAGUUCGCAACUAACGAACUACUAUUUAUCCAGAGUUGUCUAAAAAGUUAUAGGGUUGCCGUCGGAUGAAAUUCAUAUUGAGCACAUGCAGAGAGCGCAUAUUGUGAUUGACAGAUGACCGUCGCCAUUGAGUUCGAUUUGACAGGACUUAAGUACUGGCGUGCAGUUCACUUUUAUGGUAAAAUCACCUUAAACAACAACAGCAGCAAACAUCGUUAACAAAAUAAAAUCAAUACGCGAAAUGGAAAUCUUCAAAAGCGUGAAACUUGUCAACCAUCUGUCAGUCAACAGGAAGCAAUAUCCGGCACGUGCAGUCAACGUGAAACGAAUUCAACACUGGAAGCCUGUUGCUACAAUAAAACUCACUUUGGAUGUGGGUGUAUCUAAAUUAAAAAUCAAAAUCAGCUAAUAGGCAAGAGCUUCCAAGAAAACUGUAUUUCAUUUCUUUAAAUAUUUUAAAUAGGCUGGUCAAUGUUUUACACUGCCACUUGUGUUUCGCAUAAAUAAACCAUUGGUAGGCUAUAAGCUGAAGAUAGGUUAUAGAAUUUACAUCUGACCGAGGUGCUAAGUUUACUUAUUGGUUGUCCCAAGACUGGAUUUUUUAAACACCAACUACUAAGUGAAUACUAAAAUGCUCAAAACUCCAAAAUGAGGAAUACUUGACUUUGUUUUAAGUUUUGUUUAUAAAAUAUGGAUGAGGAAAGCCUGAGGAAGAAGAAGUCGAGAAAUUCAUAUUUUCAUAUUACCAUAAAUAAUAUAAUGUGAUACAAUAAAUCUAUUUGCAUAUAUGAACCAAACUUCCACUUAAAAACACCUGUCAAACCCUUACUCAGGUAUAUUGUGUAACAAAUAUAUCAGUCGAGUGAUCGUAAGAAUCAACUUAUUGAAGGAAACUUUUGGAGAGCGCAUUAUAUCGCUUCAUAGACCUGUAGCGUGGCCUGCAAGAUUGUCUGAUUCAACAAUGCUGAAUUGCUUUUGUGGUGUUAUGAGAAGUCGCUUGGAUAUGCAGAUAACCCCAACACAAUUGACGCCUUGGAAACGAAUAUUCGGUGUGUUAUUGCUGCAAAAAGUGGUCGAAAAUUGGGUCCUUUGGCUUUAAUUACUUGAAAUUACUUUUAAAACAUAAUGA
Bactrocera oleae (olive fruit fly) is the source of this 2639-nucleotide non-coding RNA. NCBI's taxonomy places the organism in Eukaryota, Metazoa, Arthropoda, Insecta, Diptera, Tephritidae. The record is from RefSeq and is a predicted model, not a curated record.